Molecule: ribosomal RNA, 255 nt
Filed under: uncultured bacterium
Lineage: Bacteria
Description: partial 16S ribosomal RNA
Rfam family: Bacterial small subunit ribosomal RNA
Source: RNAcentral
UACGGGGGGGAGCAAGCGUUGUUCGGAUUUACUGGGCGUAAAGGGCGCGUAGGCGGUCGUGACAAGUCACUUGUGAAAUCUCCGGGCUUAACUCGGAAAGGUCAAGUGAUACUGUCGGACUAGAGUACAGAAGGGGCAACUGGAAUUCUCGGUGUAGCGGUGAAAUGCGUAGAUAUCGAGAGGAACACCUGCGGCGAAGGCGGGUUGCUGGGCUGAUACUGACGCUGAGGCGCGAAAGCUAGGGGAGCGAACGGG